UUUCAGACUCACUCAGGAGGCUUACUCUGCUCUCCCCCAAAACUCUUAUUAUGCUAGUAAUAAACUUUUCUAUUCCUUUCUGUGUGUGUCUGCAGCAUCAUUUUAUGACAUACAAACCAGAUUUUGAGUGGGUUCCACCCAGCCUCUGCCGAAUGUUCUAAGGAGCAAGGAUCUGCGGAAACUAGGACAACGCUCCCUCAGUACGAUAUUUGCAUGGGCGCUUCUGAUGCUUCUCAUUUAUUCCUCACGUGCUGAUCUCAAUGGACACUUAAUUUUGCAGCCGAUUACCUUAAAACACAUGACAAAUGGUAGUAUGCAGCCUAGAGCCUGGCAACAGGAAUUUAGGCUGAGCCCUGAUGUGGUGGUGCCUGCCUGCAGACUGUGGCGCCCGCGGCCUGAGAUGACUGUAUGCUUGACUGAAGCAAAACGGAUAGGAAGUCCAAACAAGGAAUCCAUCCGAAGAGCCUGGACUUAAAUGUAGAGGCAAUGCAUAAGAAGAGGAGAAGCGGCAAGAUGGAGGCUUAGGAGGACGCUGGGCUCACCGCGCGUCCUGCUGAUCACUUAGAUUCCACCUACACCUGCCUAAAUAACCCAGAAAACCGCCAGAGGAUUAGCAGAACAGAGUCGCCGGAGCCAAACGCAGACGAGAGGCCCACGGAAGAGGGUAGGAAGGGCUGCGAGGCGGUGCGCGCUCCACGGACUGGCGGGAGGGAGCUGGGGCGGAGGGACGGCUCGCCGGCCAAGCAGAGCCCCUGAGUCUGGCUGGCAAAAGCGGAGGGGGCUGACGGACUGUGUUCCCACAACAAGCGCGACUUAGCGUCUGGGAGGUCAUAAGUUAACAGCUCUGCUCGGAAAGCGGGAAGGCUGGAGGACAAAGGGAGGGAGAGCUGCUGAGCCCCCUGACGACAGAGCUCAGCUUGGUGGGGAACAAAGGCGCUCGCCAGCGCCAUCUCCCCCGCCCAUCCCCCAGCCAAAAUCCCAAAGAGAACCAGUUCCUGCCAGGGAUCUUGCUCGCUCCGCGCACCCAACUCUGUGCUUCUGCGGAGCCAAACCUCCAGCAGCGGAUCUGACUCCCUCCCGCUGCCACAGGGCCCCUCCUGAAGAGGAUCACCUAAGGAGAAGCAAUCUAAGCCUGCCCCUCCUGCCCCCGUGCACCUUGCCUACCCACCCCAGCUAAUACGCCAGAUCCCCAGCAUCACAAGCCUGGCAGUGUGCAAGUAGCCCAGACGGGCCACACCACCCCACAGUGAAUCCCGCCCCUAGGAGAGGGGAAGAGAAGGCACACACCAGUCUAACUGUGGCCCCAGCGGUGGGCUGGGGGCAGACAUCAGGUCUGACUGCGGCCCCGCCCACCAACUCCA
This 1361-nucleotide long non-coding RNA is filed under the name Felis catus (domestic cat). Its description in RNAcentral is "lncRNA (ENSFCAG00000042368.2)". The record is from RNAcentral. Lineage: Eukaryota; Metazoa; Chordata; Mammalia; Carnivora; Felidae.